GGAUAGAACCCUUUUUUCCCUCAGUAAUUACAGCUGAUUAGAAAAUUGCCUCUUCAAAGAACAGAAACCUCAAGCGUUAUUAGUUAUAAGAGAUCUCUAGUUUCUAAUUAACAAAAAACAGACAUGUUGCACAUUUCUCAUUGUAUGCUUUUGUCACUUAUUAUUCCCCUUUCUGGCAGUAUUCUCAGAAGAACUAAUUUGCCUGCCCUGUGAACAGGGAGAGGGGGAAAACAGUGCCAUUAUUUUAAAAGAUGGAAAACUGGUAUUUUGGUGUUCAGCAUGUUUGCUUGUCUAUCUAUUAAUUCCUAAUAGUUAUCUAAUUACUACUUUAAAGUAUGAUCUAAGUCAAAAGGAAUGUAUUUUUAGGCAACAGUCUAAGAGAGGUCUUUUGUCUGAAAGAGAGAAGUCUUUUGUCAGAAAUGGAUUGAUUACUUUUUAUGAGGAAAAGCAACACAGUAUUGGUACAUCCAUGCUAGAGAGUGAUGGCAGAACAUGUGGCUCCUCCGGUCUGCUUAAAUAGGGUCGCCAUACGUCCGGAAUUUCCAGGACAUAGCUGGAAUGCUGUAGCUGCAAGCAGUGUCUGGGCUGAAAAUUGGCAAAAUGUCUGGGAAAAGCUGGACGUAUGGCAGCCCAUGGCAGCAGUGUCGUUUUUGCCGAUUUCCCUCAGAAAUAGCUCCAAAAUGUCCAAUUUCUUUGCGUUUUUUGCAAAAGAAGCCCAACAACUCAGAGCUCAACAGCUUUUCUGUCUGGAUUUUCACUUUUUGCGACAUGGCAAGCCUAGCAUAUAACUUUUUUGUAAAUCACUUUGAGGUGUUUUGCAACCAAGUAGUAUACAAAUUUUAUGAAAUAAAGAAACACAUACAUACAUAAACAUGCAAGAGGCUUCAAUAAUGGAUAGGGCAUGAUAUUAUUUUUCAUAGCAGUACAGCACAGAGAUGUUUCCAUAUGUAAGCAAAAUUAUGUUUCUAUUAAUCUCAUUUGUCUGUGUUAUCACAGAAAUUCCACUUGCGAAAAGCAGGACUGUUGGGUGUGUUAUACUCAGUGUUCAGAACCAUGUUUAUCCUUGUCAUCAAUUGCUUUAAAAGGGGGCGGAGAGAGAGAGAAAGGAUAAAAUGAAGUUCAAAAUUAGGAAGAAGAACAGCACAAACCCCAUUCUAAUAUCCUAGUCAAAUCUCUCCUCAACUGUGAAUUGACCAGGAGAGCAAUCCAAGCCCUCUUUGCUGCAUGUGGUUGGUUGGUUUCACUUAGACCAAAACAGCAACACCCAGAAAACAAAGAACCAGGUUUCUAUGUCUAAAAGGAAAUAUAUUGAUCAAUAACUAUUUGCUUUAUUUUGCAAGCCAAUUCUACAGGACAUUUUGACUGAGAAACAUUCUCACAUGUCAUAGUUUGUGCUUUGAGAUAGUCGCACUUACUGAGAGACAAAAGCCACAGAUGCUUGUCUGUGAGUCAGUCCUUUAUCUACUCAGUUGUGCUUCCUUCUGUUCAUUUGCUACAAGGCAUCUUAGAAACAAAACCUGGAAAUGUGUGUUUAUUUUCCCGAGGCUCACAUACAGUUUGCAUAUUAUUAUUACUAAAGGAUAAGGAUUAUAUGUGGAUGUUUCCCUUCUAUUUCCCAAGGUGAACUUUACUUCUGAAUGCACUGCUUAAAACCAAACCUGUUGUACAGAGAGUUCAGUGUCAAAAAAUAAUCCAAUAAAUACUAUUCAAUUACUUUUAUUGGUUGUAUCCAAUGGUUGCCCCUGGACAGCAGCUUGUGAAACUCAUUUUAAUCAUCAUCAUCAUCAUCCCCAGCAUCUUCAGGUAGGGCUAUGAGAUAACAGUGUCUGAAACCUUGGAGUCACUGCUAGUUAGGCAGUUCUGAGCUAGGCAGACCAAUGAUCUGACUCAGUCAGAUUAUUGCCCACCCUGAGAAAUUUUCAGUAACAUACAGGGGUGUUUCAGUUGCACUAGCCUCUGCAGGGACAUUAUGGGCAGAAACACAAAUGCAGGUAUUUAUGAUCAGAGCUCUAAUAAUGUGUGUGACUAAUAGAUUUCAGUCAACUAUAAAUUAACUCUUAUGCUUAAUUUUCAGAUUAAUACAUGGCAAAUAGGUCCCUUAGGCGAUUUCAAAAUCCCUGAAUGAAUGAUUUAAUGAAGGCUUUGGGGUUGUUUUUAAUAACAGCCUUUACUCCCCUGUAGUGGCUCAUUGCCCCUGCUCCUCCCUCUCUCAGUUACCGGUAAGCUUAGCUACUAAUAAUCAGAGAUAAACAUUAGAGGGAAGAAGAGGCAGGUAGUGAUGCCUGUUUGCUGUGGGCUUCUGAAGGAGUUUCUGAAUAGCCAGAGCAUCAGUCUCACACAUGACUAUUUUCAACAUGGUGAGUGUAAUGUGCAGCCAGGCCCUGAAAGUGAGUCUGCCUGGGAGUCCUACAUUUGUCAUUUUGAGUUCCAUGAUGGAGAAAAAGAAGGUGUACUAAAAUGUACAAAACUGAUAACAGUAAAUAAAUUGCAGGUUUGAUUAUAGAAAUGGCUUCAUCCAUAAUAUGUCAUGAUUUGAGCCUGAGAAGAUUCGCCUUGCUUUUCCUUCCAGUGGCAUGGAAGCACUACAAAAAGACCGGGGGUCAGUUCUGUGUUUCAUAGAUGCAUAUACCUCUUAGAUGCUAUGAACCACAAACAGUUACACAACAAUUGGAAUGUACCACAAUAUGACAUUGGAAUCUAAAAUGGAAUGAAAGAAGCAUCCUAGUGCACUCUUCUGAACAGAGGUUUCCUGGAAAGUAGUUAAUGGUGGAGUAAUGCAGACUGAAUUCAACACAGAAGUUAUAUAAAGAGGAUUGUCGUAUUAGAAGACAGAUUGUGUUGGCAGUAUUUCUGGCAUAAUGGUUAGGGAUUCCUGGGGCAGAGAGUAUUAGGAAAAAGGAUAUUUCGUGUUUAAAUUUUGUGAGGGGGGAAUAAAGGAGCUUUGGCUGAGUAUCUGUGUACUGAAUACCAUUUCUUACUAUUUUUUGAAUACAUUGUUGUGAUUUUGCUGUUAAAGCAUACAGUUUCAGAGUGAAGGCAAUGGUUCAGUUCCAGAUUGCAUUAAUCAGCCUGGGGACAAGAAAAUCUGGAACGAUGUAAAUGAAAAGAACAGCUUUUGGGCUGACUCAAUGCUGCCAAGAUAUCCACUUCUGGAUAGAUUUGCUUAUCUAUAUUAUCUAUAGAUUUUGUUAAUCUGUUUUUAUAGAGGAGAGUUUUUAGAUUCUAUAAACUUCACUACCACAUUUUUUUCAGAGAUGCAUAUAUUUCACUUUAGGAUUAUCUAUUUACUACCUAAAUCCAAAGUCAAGAGAAUAUUAUAAAAACUCGAUGGCAAGCACAGUAUAUUUUACACUUAUUUUUAAAAAGGAAGAUAAAGGGCAAGUUUAUGAGGCAAUUUGUAAAAGGCUGAUAUUUUGAAGAGUAAGAAAAAGUGUUGCAUUUGUAAAAUGUGUAUUUUUAAAAGAACUGUGCACAGAUUAUGUCAGUGUAUAGUCAAUAUACAGGGACAGCAGGACUGCAUAAUUUCCUGAGACAAAUUGCCAAGAUUUAGAAGUGAAAAUAAAAAGGUUCUUGUAUUGCAGCUUUUUGUUUCCCCCUCCAUGGAUAACAUCAGCUUCAGGAUAGGGUAGGAGGUGGAUUGGCAUUGUGGGAAAGAAUUAAAAAGCAAGCAAACAAAAACCAAAACCCUUCAUCCGCACCACAGCCCUAAUACAGGUAAAGAAAAAGAAAUCAGGACACUGGACAUUUUAGUUAUAAUGUUGUAGUGUGUAGUUGGCCUUCACACAGAUCAUUUUUAAAGUACUUUACACAUAUGAUUUGAUUAUCUCUGCAAUAGCCUGAUAAUUUGGAUUUCCAUUUUGUAGAUGUGGAACCGAGGCUGGGAAUAAGAGUGGCUUGCCUGACGUGGCCACUUGGUUUGUGGCUGUGGUGAGAUUUGAAGCAGGGACCUGCUGGCUUGCAAGGUUGCAGUGCUGUAACCAGUAUUUAUGCCAGCUUCCGGCAGUAUAGGCAAUGACCGAUUAGCACACAUCUGAAAGGUACGCAAUUGCACACAGUGCCGAACCCAGAAGUGGCUGAAAACGUCACAGAACACAUCAUUAAAAGGGCAUAACGGGGCAGGGUGCGCUUAUAUGUGCUCCACUGAUGCGUACGGGUGCCCGAAACGGAACCCCCUUGUGAAAUGGUCAUUGACUGUACCAAAAUCGCCCCCGAAGUAGCAAUGGGUGGUGCUGCUACAGCCCCAAGCAGAGCUGCUCCUGCAGGAAGUUUAAUGGGGCAGCAGCAUUCGCCUGACCUCAAGUCAAUCACAUUGCUACUGCUUACCAGGUAAUAGACAGGGAAGACUGAUGUGGCAAAGAUAUCAGUGGAGCCAGUCCCACUGGCACAUUUGCACUGCGCCCACAUUCUCCCCUCUACUUCCAAGUAAGCACCAGUAACACAACUGACAGGAGGUUAGCUGAGUGUUGCUGCCUCACGUUGUCCAAUACUGUGCUGAUGGCCUGUUUUCCCACAUGAGGACACACUGGGUGUAAGGAGGGAGAUACUCUAUGUGGCAGGACAUGCCUGUAGCAAAAUAUUUUUCUUCUUUUUUGAAUAAAGUAUUUUUAUUCAUUUUUCAGAAAACAAGCAGCGCAAACACCAGCAAACAACUUGGCUGUCAUUGCAGAAUCCAUAUCAAAAAUUCAGGGGAAGACACGUUGCAGUUUAAAUGCACUGAAGGCACAAUCUUACAUAUUAAUGUACCAGGUCUCUCCAUAUACUUCAGCAGCAAAAUAUUAUCUGACUCAAAAUGACUCCCCAUGAGCAAGCCCUUUACAGUGGUGCCCCGCAAGACGAAAAACUCGCUAGACGAAAGAGUUUUCCGAUUUUUGAGUCGUUCCGCAAGACGAAUUUCCCUAUGGGCUUGCUUCGCAAGACGAAACGUCUUGCGAGUUCUUGCGAGUUUGUUUCCUUUUUCUUAAAGCCGCUAAGCCGUUAAUAGCCGCUAAGCCGCUAAUAGCCGUGCUUCGCAAGACGAAAAAACCGCAAGACGAAGAGACUCGUGGAACAGAUUAAUUUCGUCUUGCGAGGCACCACUGUACUUUCUGUUUUGUUCUUCAAAGAAUUUUAUCUUGUGGGAACAUCUGAGGGAAGAAGCUACAGCUUUCGCUUGAGAAAGGAGACGGCCAGGCCAAGGAAGGGGCAGAAAAAGGGGAUCUUGCUUUGUUCAAGAAGAAUGAAGAACAUGCAGUUAAGAAGUUUCUUAAACACAUUGACCUGGUCCUUUCAGGGCAAAAAAUUAGUGGAGCAGAGGUAGGCUAAUUCACACCACGGCUUGGGCCAAAAAACUCAAGUUAUAAAUAUACAUAUUGGCUAAUAUGUGAGUGGGGUUUUCUCUU
This is a non-coding RNA of Podarcis lilfordi (Lilford's wall lizard), 5378 nucleotides long. The record is from the annotation of a GenBank genome assembly. NCBI's taxonomy places the organism in Eukaryota, Metazoa, Chordata, Lepidosauria, Squamata, Lacertidae.